Molecule: long non-coding RNA, 388 nt
Organism: Magallana angulata
Lineage: Eukaryota; Metazoa; Mollusca; Bivalvia; Ostreida; Ostreidae
Exons: 5
Source: RefSeq, a predicted model, not a curated record
CCGCCGGAGCUGUCCGACAUUAUCGAAUAGAGAGGACCAGACAAUCGUCAAUGGGUGUAGCUGUUUUCUUAUGAUAGAUUUGAUAAAUCACCAUGGUUACUGUGACGCUACUGACAUCUUUAUUGUUGUUGUGGACACUGCUCGCUCCAUCUAGCGGGCAACUUCUGGGGCUCCUGGCGGGAGGAUACCUUGCCUCCCGUUUUUUUGGUCAGCGUGGAUACUACCCCCUGGAGUUAUUCCCUCCUCCCUACCCCCCGCCGCCGCCUUACCGCUACCCUUACUACUGAGGCAGCUUGUCAUCCUUCCAAUGUAUCACAAGUCAUGAACUACACAUAUGGAUCAUAAAACCAAUAUACAUUUGUAAAAUCAAUAAAUGAUGAAGUCAAAG